UACGGAGGGGGCUAGCGUUGUUCGGAAUUACUGGGCGUAAAGGGCGCGUAGGCGGCGCGCUAAGUUGGGCGUGAAAGGCCCGGGCUCAACCCGGGGACUGCGCUUGAUACUGUCGCGCUGUGAGUCCGGGAGAGGAUGGCGGAAUUCCCAGUGUAGAGGUGAAAUUCGUAGAUAUUGGGAAGAACACCGGUGGCGAAGGCGGCCAUCUGGACCGGCACUGACGCUGAGGCGCGAAAGCUAGGGGAGCAAACGGG
This 254-nucleotide ribosomal RNA is filed under the name uncultured bacterium. RNAcentral's name for it is "partial 16S ribosomal RNA". It matches the Rfam family "Bacterial small subunit ribosomal RNA", at positions 524 to 776 of the family's 1533-position model. The record is from RNAcentral.